Non-coding RNA from Rhamnusium bicolor, 72 nucleotides. The record is from the annotation of a GenBank genome assembly. NCBI's taxonomy places the organism in Eukaryota, Metazoa, Arthropoda, Insecta, Coleoptera, Cerambycidae.
UGCAUGGUGGUCGAGCGAUAAGGUUACUUGCCUCUCACUCUGGAAUCCCGGGUUCGAUUCCCGGUCAAGGAG